Molecule: ribosomal RNA, 681 nt
Filed under: Arthrobacter sp.
Lineage: Bacteria; Bacillati; Actinomycetota; Actinomycetes; Micrococcales; Micrococcaceae
Description: bacterial SSU rRNA
Rfam family: Bacterial small subunit ribosomal RNA
Source: RNAcentral
CCCUCUACUCCUACGGGAGGCAGCAGUGGGGAAUAUUGCACAAUGGGCGGAAGCCUGAUGCAGCGACGCCGCGUGAGGGAUGACGGCCUUCGGGUUGUAAACCUCUUUCAGUAGGGAAGAAGCGAAAGUGACGGUACCUGCAGAAGAAGCGCCGGCUAACUACGUGCCAGCAGCCGCGGUAAUACGUAGGGCGCAAGCGUUAUCCGGAAUUAUUGGGCGUAAAGAGCUCGUAGGCGGUUUGUCGCGUCUGCCGUGAAAGUCCGGGGCUCAACUCCGGAUCUGCGGUGGGUACGGGCAGACUAGAGUGAUGUAGGGGAGACUGGAAUUCCUGGUGUAGCGGUGAAAUGCGCAGAUAUCAGGAGGAACACCGAUGGCGAAGGCAGGUCUCUGGGCAUUAACUGACGCUGAGGAGCGAAAGCAUGGGGAGCGAACAGGAUUAGAUACCCUGGUAGUCCAUGCCGUAAACGUUGGGCACUAGGUGUGGGGGACAUUCCACGUUUUCCGCGCCGUAGCUAACGCAUUAAGUGCCCCGCCUGGGGAGUACGGCCGCAAGGCUAAAACUCAAAGGAAUUGACGGGGGCCCGCACAAGCGGCGGAGCAUGCGGAUUAAGUCGAUGCAACGCGAAGAACCUUACCAAGGCUUGACAUGAACCGGUAAGACCUGAAACCAUUCCCCCCCAC